This 45-nucleotide non-coding RNA is filed under the name Trichobilharzia regenti. The record is from RNAcentral. Lineage: Eukaryota; Metazoa; Platyhelminthes; Trematoda; Strigeidida; Schistosomatidae.
AUCCAGAUGACGAGUGCCAGAUAGGACGAAACCAGCAUUCUGGAU